AAACAUAACCCUAACACACACUUGCACAUCUUCUACUGCUGCCCCCUUUCUCUUUUCCCCUUUCUCUAUCGAUGAAAGUAAGAUUGCUCAUCUAAUCAGAUCCGGUUCGUUCUUUGUUCUUGUCCGAUCAUGGCUGGAUAUCCUAGAUACUUCGGUCCAGAUCAUCCCAUUUUCAGACAUUUCUAUCAGAUCAAAAGGGGAUAAGCGAAUAUGCUGGAUUUGACUCUGUAAAAGGAUUGGUCUAUCGAGCAAGUGUUUGUAGGUUUUGAUUGCAGAAAGGAGUAGCUAUAUUUGGGUGUCUCUGAGAAAGGAGAAGGUUUACACACGAUUGGGCGAAGGAAGGAAUUGUCCAUUGAUGCAACCUGAAAGAAAAAAAAAGGUGGAGUUUACAAUCAGCCGCAAUAAACAGGUAGAUAAUGGGGCAGAAAUAAUGGAGCAAAACCACCAGAUCAUGGGGCAGAAAUGUAUGAAACCAAACCACCACCGGAAACUACCAGAAAUGAGGAUGACGAAGAUGAAAGACGAUGACGGUGAAUGAUUUGUGGAGACGAAAGAAAUUGGUGACGGUGGUCGGAGAUGCAUGUGUGUUCAAAUCGGAGAAGAUGACGUGAUGAUGAUGAUGAAACAAUCAAUCCCUAAAAAUUCUCAUGGCCAGUUUUUUUUUUCCAGUUAUAUUGUAAAUCAAUUAAAUGACAAAAAUGUACAAUUACUAAUCUACCCUUUUGAAUUAAUUAAGAGGAGGGACACUUGUCAUUCCAA
Molecule: long non-coding RNA, 759 nt
Organism: Helianthus annuus (common sunflower)
Lineage: Eukaryota; Viridiplantae; Streptophyta; Magnoliopsida; Asterales; Asteraceae
Exons: 6
Source: RefSeq, a predicted model, not a curated record